RNAcentral lists this ribosomal RNA (428 nucleotides) under uncultured bacterium. RNAcentral's name for it is "partial 16S ribosomal RNA". It matches the Rfam family "Bacterial small subunit ribosomal RNA", at positions 354 to 796 of the family's 1533-position model. The record is from RNAcentral.
GUGGGGAAUAUUGGUCAAUGGGGGAAACCCUGAACCAGCAACGCCGCGUGAAGGAAGAAGGCUUUCGGGUUGUAAACUUCUUUGACAGGGGACGAAAGCAAUGACGGUACCCUGAAAACAAGCCACGGCUAACUACGUGCCAGCAGCCGCGGUAAUACGUAGGUGGCGAGCGUUGUCCGGAUUUACUGGGUGUAAAGGGCGUGUAGGCGGGGCGGUAAGUCAGAUGUGAAAUGUAGGGGCUCAACCCCUGAAUUGCAUUUGAAACUAUCGUUCUUGAGUGAUGGAGAGGCAGGCGGAAUUCCGUGUGUAGCGGUGAAAUGCGUAGAUAUACGGAGUAACACCAGUGGCGAAGGCGGCCUGCUGGACAUUAACUGACGCUGAGGCGCGAAAGCGUGGGGAGCAAACAGGAUUAGAUACCCCGGUAGUCC